UAUAGAAGCCUAAUUAGCCACCAAGUCUUGGAAUACCUGGCAAGUAUCAAAUCCAUUGUAAUAUAAUUUGUUGAUAUAUAGCAUAGGAGGAUGUAUAAAAGGUUCAAUCAUCACCACCUAAAGCUAUAUAUUGUCAAGAUAGCACAUCCAUUGACAUGAAAAACUAACAAACUAUAUUAAAAAGACUUAAAGAAGAAAAAGAACAAAAGAACCUAAGGAUCAACGGCGAACGUUUCUUACGUUAAUACAGGAAUAUCAUGAAAAGAAUAAAGGAAGCAAAUAUUAAGGAUAGCUCUCCGUGAUCAUGAAGAGGAUCUUUAAAAUAAUGCCUCUAGUGACAUUCCCGUCUACAACACAACAUUGCCAAUAUUUUGCUUUAGCCAGUGAUGUUAAGAUCGAUGCAUCUUUAGUCACCAUUUGAAGGAUCAACAUGUACAAAGAAACUCGCUGCCACUAUGAGAUAGCAGAGAAUGAGCAUUAAUCCUUUAAAAUAGUUUGAUGUCCCUUCCUGCAACAUGAAUGCCACAACUAGCACAGUGACAAAGAGGGUUGCUGUUUCAAAGAGUUGAAAAUUCAAGUCCAUAGGUUGUCCCAUUAGCCACCCAACGACCACACAAAAGGGGAUCACAAACAUUGAUAUCUGUGUGCAAGAUCCAAUUGCAACUCCAAGUGAAAGAUCGAGCUUGUCCUUCAUGGCAAACAUUAUUGCACUUGCAUGCUCAGCAGCAUUUCCCACAAUUGGAAGCAGGAUGACGCUAAUAAAAGCCACAGGCAUGUUCAACGUGUCAGAUGCUCCCUGGAUGGCAUCAACAAGGUAUGCAGAUAACACAGAAAUCCAUGAAGUUAAAAUCGCAAGCCAACCAACUGCUUCCCAAUAAGUUAUUUCAGGUGCCUCUUCUUCAUCAGAAAAUUGUUGUUCAUCAUCCCUUCCCUGCAGCUCAUCAACGGGACGAUAGAGAUUAUGUUGACUUUUGAGUUGAAAGAAAAGGUAGCUUCCAUAUGCCACUAGCAUUAUACAGCUACUAAAUCUUGAAAGAGACAACUCUGACUUGCCAAAAUGAAUUUCUGUGUGUGUGAAAUGAAGCACAGCUGGAAACAUUAUCCCCAUUACAGCCAUCAAAAGCAAUCCAGAAUUCACUAGAGCAGCCGCCUUAUUAAAUUUCUGAACCCGCUUGUGAUUAGCAAUCCCACCACUGAAGAAAGAACAUCCAAGCACCAAAAGCAUAUUUGACAAGAUAGAACCUAACAAAGAUUGUUGAACAACUCUUAUCAUCCCACUCUUCAAUGCAUAAAUUGAUAUUAUCAUUUCAGUUGCAUUUCCAAAUGUGGCAUUUAGAAGACCACCAACUGUAGGUCCAGUGUAGAAUGCAAGCUGCUCAGUUGUGUAACCUAGACGUUCUGCCAAAGGUAUGAUGCCCAGUAAGCUUAGGAAGAAGACCCAUUCAUGAUUUCUAGUAAAAUAAUGUAGAAAAAUUGCUGAGGGACCAAACACUAGCAGCAAGUUAAUCUUUGCUUUAAUUAAGACGAUAUAAAUACUCCUAAGAGGGCUCAUUAGUAUUCGCUUCAAAGCCCGUGAAUUGACCACAUCAGCAUGAGAGCCCACAAUGGUUGUCUCAAAAUCAAAAGAAUGUACUUUGCUCCUCACAGGUGAUAACACGAAAGAGAUGUCCUCAUCAGAUUCAAGGUCUAACUUCUCCUCUAUGGGCCCCAUCUGGGUCAAUUUCUAUGGAGAUGUAGCAUCACUGAAUAUGCUGGAGAUUCUAGCAGAAUAUCUCCCAAACUUGUGAUACUACAAUCAAAUAUCUGAUGAAGGAGAAACUAUGGAUCUACAGGAGAUUUGAAGGGGAAUCCUUUAAGAGAGAGAGAGAGAGAGA
Molecule: unclassified non-coding RNA, 1874 nt
Filed under: Hevea brasiliensis (rubber tree)
Lineage: Eukaryota; Viridiplantae; Streptophyta; Magnoliopsida; Malpighiales; Euphorbiaceae
Source: RNAcentral